CAGAGGUCCCGAGCGUAGUUCGGAUUCACUGGGCGUAAAAGGGUGCGUAGGUGGUGAGGUUAAGUCGGAUGUGAAAUCUCCGGGCUCAACCCGGAAAUGGCAUUGGAAACUACCUUGCUGGAGGAUUUGAGGGGGGAUUGGGAAUACUUGGUGUAGCAGUGAAAUGCGUAGAUAUCAAGUGGAACACCAGUGGCGAAGGCGAAUCCCUGGAAAAUACCUGACACUGAGGCACGAAAGCUAGGGGAGCAAACAGGAUUAGAUACCCUGGUAGUCCUAGCCCUAAACGGUGCUUGCUUGCUGUAAGAGGAAUCGACCCCUCUUGUGGCGGAGCUAACGCGUUAAGCAAGCCGCCUGGGAAGUACGGUCGCAAGAUUA
This 375-nucleotide ribosomal RNA is filed under the name uncultured organism. Its description in RNAcentral is "bacterial SSU rRNA". It matches the Rfam family "Bacterial small subunit ribosomal RNA", at positions 526 to 896 of the family's 1533-position model. The record is from RNAcentral.